RNAcentral lists this unclassified non-coding RNA (332 nucleotides) under soil metagenome. RNAcentral's name for it is "partial contains 5.8S ribosomal RNA, internal transcribed spacer 2, and large subunit ribosomal RNA". The stretch from base 1 to 120 matches the Rfam family "5.8S ribosomal RNA", at positions 35 to 154 of the family's 154-position model. The record is from RNAcentral.
GAUGAAGAACGUAGCGAAAUGCGAUAAGUAGUGUGAAUUGCAGAAUUCAGUGAAUCAUCGAAUCUUUGAACGCACAUUGCGCCUUUUGGUAUUCCUUAGGGCAUGCCUGUUCGAGCGUCAUUUAAACCUUCAAGCUAAGCUUGGUGUUGGGUGACUGUCCGCUUCACGGCGGACUCGCCUCAAAAUUAUUGGCGGCCGGUACAUUGGCUUCGAGCGCAGCAGAAACGCGAACUCGGGCCCGUCGUAUUGGCUCCCAGAAGCUAUCUUCACAAUUUUGACCUCGGAUCAGGUAGGGAUACCCGCUGAACUUAAGCAUAUCAAUAAGCGGAGGA